RNAcentral lists this ribosomal RNA (271 nucleotides) under uncultured prokaryote. RNAcentral's name for it is "partial 16S ribosomal RNA". It matches the Rfam family "Bacterial small subunit ribosomal RNA", at positions 524 to 794 of the family's 1533-position model. The record is from RNAcentral.
UACGUAGGGUGCGAGCGUUGUCCGGAAUUACUGGGCGUAAAGAGCUCGUAGGCGGUUUGUCGCGUCGUCCGUGAAAACCUGGGGCUUAACCCUGGGCGUGCGGGCGAUACGGGCAGACUUGAGUACUGCAGGGGAGACUGGAAUUCCUGGUGUAGCGGUGAAAUGCGCAGAUAUCAGGAGGAACACCGAUGGCGAAGGCAGGUCUCUGGGCAGUAACUGACGCUGAGGAGCGAAAGCAUGGGUAGCGAACAGGAUUAGAUACCCCCGUAGU